AGAGUUUGAUCCUGGCUCAGGACGAACGCUGGCGGCGUGCUUAACACAUGCAAGUCGAGCGGAAAGGCCCUUCGGGGUACUCGAGCGGCGAACGGGUGAGUAACACGUGAGUAACCUGCCCUAGGCUUUGGGAUAACCCUCGGAAACGGGGGCUAAUACCGGAUAUGACUUCCUGUCGCAUGGUGGGGAGUGGAAAGUUUUUCGGCCUGGGAUGGACUCGCGGCCUAUCAGCUUGUUGGUGGGGUAAUGGCCUACCAAGGCGACGACGGGUAGCCGGCCUGAGAGGGCGACCGGCCACACUGGGACUGAGACACGGCCCAGACUCCUACGGGAGGCAGCAGUGGGGAAUAUUGCACAAUGGGCGAAAGCCUGAUGCAGCGACGCCGCGUGAGGGAUGACGGCCUUCGGGUUGUAAACCUCUUUCAGCAGGGACGAAGCGUAAGUGACGGUACCUGCAGAAGAAGCGCCGGCCAACUACGUGCCAGCAGCCGCGGUA
RNAcentral lists this ribosomal RNA (496 nucleotides) under uncultured Actinomycetes bacterium. Its description in RNAcentral is "bacterial SSU rRNA". It matches the Rfam family "Bacterial small subunit ribosomal RNA", at positions 8 to 522 of the family's 1533-position model. The record is from RNAcentral. Lineage: Bacteria; Bacillati; Actinomycetota; Actinomycetes.